UACAUAUAUAUAAUUUAAUAGUGCUCAGGUACAAUACUAUAAAUAGUACCAAACACUUUAUACUAUCUAGUUUUCUGCCGUUAGAUUAGUAUGGUUUACCGUAUUCUUUUUGAACAUUAUACAUAUAUAUAAUUUAAUAGUGCUCAGGUACAAUACUAUAAAUAGUACCAAACACUUUAUACUAUCUAGUUUUCUGCCGUUAGAUUUACUCUUUUGACCAUUUUCAUCCGUUAAACCAUACUAUUCUAUCAACCCCCAUUCAAUUCUAAGGUAACAGCACCAUCCUAACCGCACACUAUUUCAUUUACGGGUGAAAACUUAAUAGCACCAGUGACUUAGAUGCUAUUAACAGUAUUCUAGUCUAGUUCAUAAUUAACAAUUAUACUAAGUAAA
RNAcentral lists this long non-coding RNA (393 nucleotides) under Ananas comosus (pineapple). Its description in RNAcentral is "long non-coding RNA (ACOM_LNC022956)". The record is from RNAcentral. Lineage: Eukaryota; Viridiplantae; Streptophyta; Magnoliopsida; Poales; Bromeliaceae.